UCAGUCGAUGCGGCUGGCAGAUUUUUGACGUGCCUCGUAUUGAAUUGCCUGUCACAUCGACGACA
RNAcentral lists this non-coding RNA (65 nucleotides) under Spodoptera frugiperda (fall armyworm). Lineage: Eukaryota; Metazoa; Arthropoda; Insecta; Lepidoptera; Noctuidae. The record is from RNAcentral.